GAUGAACGCUGGCGGCGUGCCUAAUACAUGCAAGUCGAGCGAACAGACGAGGAGCUUGCUCCUCUGACGUUAGCGGCGGACGGGUGAGUAACACGUGGAUAACCUACCUAUAAGACUGGGAUAAAUUCGGGAAACCGGAGCUAAUACCGGAUAAUAUAUUGAACCGCAUGGUUCAAUAGUGAAAGACGGUUUUGCUGUCACUUAUAGAUGGAUCCGCGCCGCAUUAGCUAGUUGGUAAGGUAACGGCUUACCAAGGCGACGAUGCGUAGCCGACCUGAGAGGGUGAUCGGCCACACUGGAACUGAGACACGGUCCAGACUCCUACGGGAGGCAGCAGUAGGGAAUCUUCCGCAAUGGGCGAAAGCCUGACGGAGCAACGCCGCGUGAGUGAUGAAGGUCUUCGGAUCGUAAAACUCUGUUAUUAGGGAAGAACAAAUGUGUAAGUAACUAUGCACGUCUUGGCGGUACCUAAUCAGAAAGCCACGGCUAACUACGUG
Molecule: ribosomal RNA, 497 nt
Filed under: uncultured bacterium
Lineage: Bacteria
Description: partial 16S ribosomal RNA
Rfam family: Bacterial small subunit ribosomal RNA
Source: RNAcentral